RNAcentral lists this transfer RNA (89 nucleotides) under Caryophanales bacterium. RNAcentral's name for it is "tRNA-Ser". It matches the Rfam family "tRNA". From Rfam's summary of the family: Transfer RNA (tRNA) molecules are approximately 80 nucleotides in length. Lineage: Bacteria; Bacillati; Bacillota; Bacilli; Caryophanales. The record is from RNAcentral.
GGAGUAGUACCCAAGUCGGUGAAGGGGGCAGUUUGCUAAACUGCUAGGUCUAACAAGGCGCGCAGGUUCGAGUCCUGUCUACUCCGCCA